Non-coding RNA from Phalacrocorax carbo (great cormorant), 2567 nucleotides. The record is from RefSeq and is a predicted model, not a curated record. NCBI's taxonomy places the organism in Eukaryota, Metazoa, Chordata, Aves, Suliformes, Phalacrocoracidae.
UCCUCCGCGCCUCUCUGACUCAGCGGCCGGUGCCGGGUUGGAGCCGCCCGCCGUGAGGGGAGGGUGGCGGGAAGAUGCCCGCCCUGAGGGGACGGAGCCUCCGGGGCGCUCAGUGAGGGCGGGCUUGAGGGGGAUCCCUCCCUCCUGAGGGAUUAGCGCCCGUCUCGGCUGCCCUGUGGCUGACGGCGACUCACCUGGUGGGCGGCCGUCUUACCCUCCCUCCCAGACCCGGUCGCUUCGGCCGAGAGGGAGCGGAGCCCGCCUCGCCCCUCCCCGGGGAAACUUUCCGCCGCCAGGGAGACCUGGGCAGUGUUGGCCACUAACUUCUGGGAGAGGACCCUGGCUUCACGGAGGGGAGUAGGCAAGUGCCAAGGCCCUGCAAUCAGAAAAGCAGCAGCUGAUCUCUGAUAGCUUGACUGUCUGUAAUAGAAAAUGUCAAAACUUCACUCUUGUUAAAGAAUGUCUGGAGGAACUGACUGUGGUGGAAAGCUGAAUGCUGCUGAAAGGUGUCAGCUGAAGAAACUUUAGAUCUGGAUUGUCCACCAAAUGGAAGACCUGCCAGAGCAAGUUUUUCCUUGCUGACCUGUUGACAUGCUUUAAUUGCAGAACAGUUGGUGUUUGUCAGUUGAAUCACUGUACAAUUAGAAUCUGAUUGCUUUCUGAAGAUGUUUGGGAUCCUUCAGAUAUAAAAAGGAAUGCUAGAAAAUAACUUGAUAUCUGAUCCAGCGCCUGGGCUAGAUGAGAGUAAACUGAGCCCUCGUCAACUUAAUGUUUGCCACAGGCAAGUUGUUUUCAGCUAAUAACUUAAAGUUGGUAUUUGUGUUCUUCAUUUGAUGCUUUCUACAGUCUGUUUAUGACGACUUUGUGCAGUAGGAGUGAACGUUCAGAAUGAACUGUUUGAUUGAAUUUUACUGAGAUGUUAUUGUUUGUCACCAAGGGAUGACCGAUCUUUUUCAUGAUUCUUCAUUACUAACGGUGUACAUGGCUUUAAUCUUGUGACUGUAUGUAUGUGCUGUAUACUGUUAGGUGCAGUUUUUGUUUAGAAUACAUAAAUGCUGGAGAUGAAUUUGGUAUUUUACAGUGUUUGUCAAUCACAUACUCCCAAAGAUCAUCUUCAAGCAAUGGGGUAGUUUUUAUGCAUGUAAUAACUAAUACAGUAAAUGGGGCAGGCAGCUCAGGGGAACCUUGCUGAAAGUUUCCUGUGGUUGGUAGAUAUUUCUAGAGUUGGCAACAUUGAAAGCCCUUGCUGUUCUGAUGUGUUGUUGUCUAACUCUGAAAAAGAUCUGAUUUGAAUCAAAACACUGCAAGUUGUUAAUGACCCAUGUAUCUGAGAACUCCCAGUGUCAUAACUUGAGUUGCCCAAAUUAGGAUUUGGAAGUGGCAGGAAGCUCUUAAAUAUAGAAUUGUAGAUUUAGGUUGGAAAAGACCUUUAAGAUCAUUGAGUCCAACCAUAAACCUAACAAUGCCAAGUCCGCCACCAAACCAUGUCCCUAAGUGCUAUCUUGGAUAAAUAAGACCUUGUGGGACUUCAUGCAGGAGAUGAGGGGACACGCAUGCUUGUCUUGGAGGUUUCUUUCACAGAGGCUGUAUCUGUUCUUUAUCUAUGGUGGCUAGACUUAGGAUAUCCUUGUGCAGGAAAAGAUGCCUAUAGUACAAGUGCAGACUGUAGCAGUCAUCUGCUUAGGCAGUAAGCUGUUAACAGAGGCAGGACUUGAGUGUUCAAUAACAUAGUGGUAGUUAUAAAUUCUUACGUAAACAUCAAUAACGAAGUAGCACUUUUGUGGAAAGUGAGCUUUCCUAUUGUGCACAUGCAAAUGUAACAGUGGCUCUGCCACUGGAUCUCUUGGCAUCUCACUGUAUUUUGAAUGUGUGGUGAGAGAUGUGCCUUUCCUGUUCACUUUAGGUCUUCUCAUGGCUGCAGAAGAGUAGGACAAUAUUUCAGGAGUCUGUAAUUACCAAAGCACCAGUACGGAACCUCUACCCCAAAAAAGUAUGUUUAGAGAGCUACAGGACAGAAGUAGUUAUUUAAAGGAGGGUCUGAUGGGGAGGGAAUGAGUGUUGUCUUGAAGUUUGUGGAGUAGAGUCUGAGGCUGGAGUAGGAAAGAUGCACAAAAAAAGAAAAUUGCAAAGGCUAGGUAGGAUGGAGGAUUACAACAGGUUAGAGGAGAAGAGAGGGCAACAGGUUAAAUAGUUCAGAAUUGCCUGUGUAUGGUCCCUCCUAGAGCUUUGCGUGCAUCUCAAGAGUCUUGCAUCACUGAUCUUUGAUUACUUUUUUUAAAUCAGUAUUAUUGAAGAAAGCCAUAAUUUAUCUUACUGUUGUUUACUAGCUGAAAUGGUGGAGGCUGAUCAAAAGUUUCCGAUUCUACUCUUGGGAUCAUACUGCUGUACUGCUCGUAGAAUUUGUCAUAUGAUAUCUAGAUGCAUAAUACCAGUUUCUUUUAUUUAAAUUCUUAAAUGACAUGCAAAGUCUACAUUGAAACAAGCUCUAAACUGUAAAGUCAAGCAACUUGUAAAUUCCACAGUUGAGCUUGCCUCUGGUUUAUUAAUAAAGUUCUCUUGCUGCACCU